CAGCAGCAGUUUGCGGGCGCGAAAUCUGCGGCCAUCGCGCGUGCGCACCGAAAAGCCGGUGUCGGUGUGCGCAGCGUCAACGACACGCGCUUCGUCGACAACGACCGAUGCGUACGCCGCGAGNNNNNNNNNNNGCAAUUGCGCCGGCGCGACGCCGUCGCGGCUGAGGAAUCCGUGUAAGGCAUGCGAUACGGCGUUACGCGGCCUGCCGUCGUCGAAGAGCAGAACCUUCCGGCGGCAGCGCCCGAGUACCAAGGCGGCGUUCAGCCCCGCCGGGCCUCCGCCCACUAUGAUCGCGUCCCAGAGGUCGGUCUGCUUCGGCGAUCCGCUCAUCGGGUGGUUCUCCUUCGCAUCGACGACGACGCUUCGCUCACUGGGCGAAACUCAUGCCUACCACGCGCGACAGCAUCCGCCGGCUCGCAAG
Molecule: unclassified non-coding RNA, 424 nt
Filed under: Hevea brasiliensis (rubber tree)
Lineage: Eukaryota; Viridiplantae; Streptophyta; Magnoliopsida; Malpighiales; Euphorbiaceae
Source: RNAcentral